AAUGGUUUCAGCAGCAUAUCCUGUUGCCUGUUAUGUAUUUUUCUUCUUUUUUACAUUCUUUAUUUUAACACAAAGCCACGAAAACAGUAGUUUAAAUAGUAUAAAUUUGUGCCGCAGUAGUAUAGGGAAUGAGGGUUCUAGACCACUUUUUCGGCCCGCGAUCUCACCCAACUUCCGGUCAGCGGUUUCCAUAUUUUUCCCUCAAAAUCGCGGGCUCAUAUUUUUCUAGACCAUUUUCCCAUUAUUUUUUCUAUUAUUUUUUCUAUUAUUUUUGGCAUUAUUUUUUCUAUUAUUUUUCUAUUAUUUUUCAGCAUUAUUAUUUACAAGAAUUAUUAUCAUAUGCUAGGGCUCAUAUUUUUCUAGACCAUCUUCGAAGAACCCUCCAAUCUUCUGUCUUCAAAUCAACUUCCCGUCCAAUCUCAAACCUUCUAGUUAACACUUUACUCAAAAUCCAAUUGCAAUCAACUUGUCGCUUCCAGGGAUUCUGAUUGCCUGAACACCCAACGACUUCGCUUUCUCGCCCACCACCAUUCUCAAGUAUUUUUUUUCAUCUUCUGGUAACACAUCAUAGUUUUUCCUUAGAUGAUUCUCAUCAGUUACAACUAUCCGCAAUGGUACUAGUUUCUUAAACUUAGACCUCUUUAGUGGAAUCACUACUUUAUAUUCUGCUCUAGGAAUAUGUUUCUCUUCCCGUGGUUCUAAGUCUUCCCAGCAAGCGCCUUCAUAGAGUUCUACUGCUUCCUCGAGUCUACAGUAUUCACUCUAAGUUUCGACCCUUUUUGGUACCCAGCUUGGUUCCACUUUUUCUUCAAUUACCA
This is a non-coding RNA of Paramuricea clavata, 818 nucleotides long. The record is from the annotation of a GenBank genome assembly. NCBI's taxonomy places the organism in Eukaryota, Metazoa, Cnidaria, Anthozoa, Malacalcyonacea, Plexauridae.